Spinacia oleracea (spinach) is the source of this 776-nucleotide long non-coding RNA. RefSeq lists it as uncharacterized. The record is from RefSeq and is a predicted model, not a curated record. The transcript has 2 exons. NCBI's taxonomy places the organism in Eukaryota, Viridiplantae, Streptophyta, Magnoliopsida, Caryophyllales, Amaranthaceae.
AGCAAAUGCAACGGUCUAUUGCAACGGUUAAGGUUAUUGCAAUGGUUUAAUGCAACAGUCAAAGCUAAAGCAACGCUUUUUGCAACGGAUGAGGAUAUUGCAACGGUCUAUUGCAAUGGUCUUGGGUAAUGCAACGGCAUAGUACAACGAUAUGAAGUAACUGUUGCAUUAGACUGUGAAAUGCCACGUUCUUUGAAGCUUUUGCAACGAUGAUGUUUAUUUUUUUUUAUUUUUUUUGAGAAGAUGUUUAAUUAGAAGUUGUAUUCGGUGGGAAAGUAUAUUCAGCACGCGUCUAUUUUCCCUUUUCUUUUUUUACUCUUGAAAAUUUUGAAACCCUCGUUAGAUCCGCCCAAAAAUCAGAAAAAAAAACCCUCAAAAACCCUCGCUUCUCUGCUUCUUCUUCCAAGUAUGUCUUCCGCUUUUCUGAUUCAAUCCUUUUGCUUUGCUCCCUCUCUGCGCCGCCUUCUUGUCAACCAGGGACACCACCGCGGCACCGCGUCAACACCAUCAACAACAUCACCACCAGCCACAAGUCCUUCAUGAACCAAAUUAAUUACACGAGAAGGAAUGGCAAUAAUAAGGAAUCAAACUUUUGGGUGGUGGAUCUCAUAAACUAGUGCUACACAACCACUACAUAAUUAGAAUUAUUAAGCUUUUGUUAUGUCUUUUAGGUUUUGUACAAGUAUUACUUCAUUUUGUAAAUAGUCAAUAAACGAUGUGACGAUAAUAUGUAUAUAUUUAUGGAUAUUUUUAAUAAAAAUGAAAUGCUUAUCAUC